RNAcentral lists this ribosomal RNA (265 nucleotides) under uncultured archaeon. RNAcentral's name for it is "partial 16S ribosomal RNA". It matches the Rfam family "Archaeal small subunit ribosomal RNA", at positions 748 to 1008 of the family's 1478-position model. The record is from RNAcentral.
CAGCCGUAAACAAUGUGCGUUAGGUGUGUCGGUAACCACGUGUUACUGAUGCGCCGAAGAGAAAUCGUGAAACGCACCACCUGGGAAGUACGGUCGCAAGGCUGAAACUUAAAGGAAUUGGCGGGGGGAGGCACCACAACAGGUGGAGCCUGCGGUUUAAUUUGGAUUCAACGCCGAAAAACUACACCAGCAGCGACUGUUACAUGAAAGUCAGGUUGAUGACCUUACUAGAUUUUCAGAGAGGAGGUGCAUGGCGUCAGUGACU